UACGUAGGGGGCAAGCGUUGUCCGGAAUUAUUGGGCGUAAAGAGCGCGUAGGCGGUCCGAUAAGUCGGCUGUGAAAGUCAGGGGCUCAACCCUUGAAAGCCGGCCGAUACUGUCGGACUAGAGUCCGGAAGAGGCGAGUGGAAUUCCAGGUGUAGCGGUGAAAUGCGUAGAUAUCUGGAGGAACACCGGUGGCGAAGGCGGCAUCCUGGACCAACACUGACGCUGAGUGAGCGAAAGCCAGGGGAGCAAACGGG
This 254-nucleotide ribosomal RNA is filed under the name uncultured bacterium. Its description in RNAcentral is "partial 16S ribosomal RNA". It matches the Rfam family "Bacterial small subunit ribosomal RNA", at positions 524 to 776 of the family's 1533-position model. The record is from RNAcentral.